GAGGACGACCAUAGUAAGCAGGAAACACCUGUUCCCAUCCCGAACACAGAAGUUAAGCUGCUUACGUCAUGCAUUGUACUGGCUUCGGCCGGGAAGUGCAUGAGUCGUCCUCC
RNAcentral lists this ribosomal RNA (113 nucleotides) under Candidatus Pacearchaeota archaeon. The record is from RNAcentral. Lineage: Archaea; Nanobdellati.